CACACCAUGAGAGCUGGCUCAACCAGAAGUCGUUGAUGCUAACCGCGCAAGCGGGGGCAGGCGCCGAAGGUGGGGCUAGUGAUUGGGGUG
RNAcentral lists this ribosomal RNA (90 nucleotides) under uncultured bacterium. RNAcentral's name for it is "partial 16S ribosomal RNA". The record is from RNAcentral.